This 439-nucleotide ribosomal RNA is filed under the name uncultured archaeon. Its description in RNAcentral is "partial 16S ribosomal RNA". It matches the Rfam family "Archaeal small subunit ribosomal RNA", at positions 413 to 847 of the family's 1478-position model. The record is from RNAcentral.
CAGAGUNUAAAAANCUCCGNAAAUAAGGGCUGGGCAAGNCCNGGUNCCAGCCNCCGCGGUAANACCGGCNCCCCNAGUGGUGGCCACUNUUAUUGGGCUUAAAGCNUCCGUAGCCGGUCCGGUAAGUCCCUGUGAAAAUCCUCAGGCUCAACCUGAGGAAAUCCGGGGAUACUGCCAGACUUGGGGCCGGGAGACGCAGAGGGUACUCCAGGGGUAGCGGUGAAAUGCUGUAAUCCCUGGGGGACCACCAGUGGCGAAGGCGCUCCGCGAGAACGGGUCCGACGGUGAGGGACGAAAGCCAGGGGAGCGAACGGGAUUAGAUACCCCGGUAGUCCUGGCCGUAAACGCUGCCCGCUAGGGUGUUGCACGCUCCUACGGGGGCGUGCAGUGCCGAAGCGAAAGGUGAUAAAGCGCGCCGCCUGGGAAGUUCGUACNUAAU